UAAGUAAGUGGUGGAAAUUAAACCAACUGGGAUCUCUUCAGUAAUUGCGCAUGAACCAGGAUAUGCUUAGCUUGACAAAUGGAGCUGCUGGCUCUGAAUUGUAUUGUGGGAAUGUAUUACCAACAGAGGUGCAGGUGUCAGCCAUUUGAAAGAAAGCAUCAAUGAGGGUGAGAGUCCUGUUUGUCAUGUGCAGCCUUCUGUGCACGGUGUAUAUUUGCUGAGUCACACUCCUCGGCAUUGGAAUGCAAAGUGGGUGGUAAGUUUCAUGCAAAGGUAAAUAUGCAAUUG
This 288-nucleotide ribosomal RNA is filed under the name Alexandrium pacificum. RNAcentral's name for it is "partial 28S ribosomal RNA". It matches the Rfam family "Eukaryotic large subunit ribosomal RNA", at positions 43 to 330 of the family's 3401-position model. The record is from RNAcentral. Lineage: Eukaryota; Dinophyceae; Gonyaulacales; Pyrocystaceae.